RNAcentral lists this ribosomal RNA (253 nucleotides) under uncultured bacterium. Its description in RNAcentral is "partial 16S ribosomal RNA". It matches the Rfam family "Bacterial small subunit ribosomal RNA", at positions 524 to 776 of the family's 1533-position model. The record is from RNAcentral.
UACGGAGGGGGCUAGCGUUGUUCGGAAUUACUGGGCGUAAAGCGCACGUAGGCGGCUUUGUAAGUUAGAGGUGAAGGCCCAGGGCUUAACCCUGGAAUUGCCUUUAAGACUGCAUCGCUAGAAUCGUGGAGAGGUGAGUGGAAUUCCGAGUGUAGAGGUGAAAUUCGUAGAUAUUCGCAAGAACACCGGUGGCGAAGGCGGCGACCUGGUCCUUGACUGACGCUGAGGCGCGAAAGCGUGGGGAGCAAACAGG